RNAcentral lists this ribosomal RNA (495 nucleotides) under uncultured bacterium. RNAcentral describes it as "partial 16S ribosomal RNA". It matches the Rfam family "Bacterial small subunit ribosomal RNA", at positions 31 to 508 of the family's 1533-position model. The record is from RNAcentral.
GAACGCUGGCGGCGUGCCUAAUACAUGCAAGUCGAGCGAACAGAUGAGGAGCUUGCUCCUCUGACGUUAGCGGCGGACGGGUGAGUAACACGUGGAUAACCUACCUAUAAGACUGGGAUAACUUCGGGAAACCGGAGCUAAUACCGGAUAAUAUAUUGAACCGCAUGGUUCAAUAGUGAAAGACGGUUUUGCUGUCACUUAUAGAUGGAUCCGCGCCGCAUUAGCUAGUUGGUAAGGUAACGGCUUACCAAGGCAACGAUGCGUAGCCGACCUGAGAGGGUGAUCGGCCACACUGGAACUGAGACACGGUCCAGACUCCUACGGGAGGCAGCAGUAGGGAAUCUUCCGCAAUGGGCGAAAGCCUGACGGAGCAACGCCGCGUGAGUGAUGAAGGUCUUCGGAUCGUAAAACUCUGUUAUUAGGGAAGAACAAAUGUGUAAGUAACUAUGCACGUCUUGACGGUACCUAAUCAGAAAGCCACGGCUAACUACGUGC